This 107-nucleotide ribosomal RNA is filed under the name Jungiella valachia. Its description in RNAcentral is "partial 16S ribosomal RNA". Lineage: Eukaryota; Metazoa; Arthropoda; Insecta; Diptera; Psychodidae. The record is from RNAcentral.
UCAAACCGGCGUAAGCCAGGUUGGUUUCUAUCUUUAAAUAAUUAUCAUAUUUUAGUACGAAAGGAUUAAAUAUGAAAAAUAAUUUUUUGAAAAAGAAUUAAAUUAAU